GAGGAUAUGGCGCAGUUGGUAGCGCGUCAGAUUGUGGCUCUGAAGGCCGUGGGUUCGAAACCCACUAUCCUCC
Molecule: transfer RNA, 73 nt
Filed under: Oscillospiraceae bacterium
Lineage: Bacteria; Bacillati; Bacillota; Clostridia; Eubacteriales; Oscillospiraceae
Description: tRNA-His
Rfam family: tRNA
About the family: Transfer RNA (tRNA) molecules are approximately 80 nucleotides in length. Their secondary structure includes four short double-helical elements and three loops (D, anti-codon, and T loops).
Source: RNAcentral